CGCCUUUUGACAAUAAUAAAAGGUCCAGCCUGCCCAGUGAUAAAUUUAACGGCCGCGGUAUCCUAACCGUGCAAAGGUAGCAUAAUCACUUGUUCUUUAAAUAGGGACUUGUAUCAACGGCAUCACGAGGGUUGUACUGUCUCCUCUCUCCAAUCAGUGAAACUGAUCUCCCCAUGAAAAAGUGGGGAUAAACUUAUAAGACGAGAAGACCCCAUGGAGCUUUAAGGCCUACAGCAAUCUAGCAAAACACUUCUAUCUAGCUAUAAAGUUAUGCUUAAAGACUUUAGGUUGGGAAGACCACGGAGUACAAAAUAACCUCCGCAAUGAAAAGAAUAAAAUCCUUACCAAAGAGCCACAACUCAAAGAAUUAGAAAACUAACGUACAAUGACCCGAUAUCGAUCAAUGAACCAAGUUACCCUGGGGAUAACAGCGCAAUCCACUCCGAGAGUUCAUAUCGACGAGCGGGCUUACGACCUCGAUGUUGGAUCAGGGUAUCCUGGUGGUGCAGCCGCUACCAAAGGUUCGUUUGUUCAACGAUUAAAACCCU
Molecule: ribosomal RNA, 548 nt
Filed under: Pseudophilautus kani (Kani bush frog)
Lineage: Eukaryota; Metazoa; Chordata; Amphibia; Anura; Rhacophoridae
Description: partial 16S ribosomal RNA
Rfam family: Bacterial large subunit ribosomal RNA
Source: RNAcentral